GAACGGGUGAGUAACACGUGGGUGAUCUGCCUCGCACUCUGGGAUAAGCCUGGGAAACUGGGUCUAAUACCGGAUAUGACCACGGAUCGCAUGGUUUGUGGUGGAAAGAUUUAUCGGUGCGAGAUGGGCCCGCGGCCUAUCAGCUUGUUGGUGGGGUAAUGGCCUACCAAGGCGACGACGGGUAGCCGACCUGAGAGGGUGACCGGCCACACUGGGACUGAGACACGGCCCAGACUCCUACGGGAGGCAGCAGUGGGGAAUAUUGCACAAUGGGCGAAAGCCUGAUGCAGCGACGCCGCGUGAGGGAUGACGGCCUUCGGGUUGUAAACCUCUUUCGACAGGGACGAAGCGCGAGUGACGGUACCUGUAGAAGAAGCACCGGCCAACUACGUGCCAGCAGCCGCGGUAAUACGUAGGGUGCGAGCGUUGUCCGGAAUUACUGGGCGUAAAGAGCUUGUAGGCGGUUCGUCGCGUCGAUUGUGAAAACUUGCAGCUCAACUGCAAGCUUGCAGUCGAUACGGGCGGACUAGAGUACUUCAGGGGAGACUGGAAUUCCUGGUGUAGCGGUGAAAUGCGCAGAUAUCAGGAGGAACACCGGUG
RNAcentral lists this ribosomal RNA (600 nucleotides) under Nocardia nova. Its description in RNAcentral is "bacterial SSU rRNA". It matches the Rfam family "Bacterial small subunit ribosomal RNA", at positions 100 to 714 of the family's 1533-position model. Lineage: Bacteria; Bacillati; Actinomycetota; Actinomycetes; Mycobacteriales; Nocardiaceae. The record is from RNAcentral.